AUGAAUAGGUGGCUCCACCUGAUUGAUUUUGUUAAAAAGUUUGUUCCAUCUGCUGGUAGUGAUCACCAUGUCUGGAUGUUGGAGCCUUCUGGCAAGUUCACUGUUAAGUCCUUUUAUAAAAUGAUUAACUUUGGAGGUGUGCCUUCUGAUAUUAGCGAUUCCAUUUGGAAAAUUAAAGUUCCCCCGAAUAUACAUGUAUUCCUUUGGCUCAUUUUUAAUAACAAAAGUUUGACUAGAGAUAAUUUGGCCAAAAGAAGGCAUGUAGAUGAUGCUUCUUGUGUGUUCUGCACUGAGCUUGAAACUACUCAACAUUUAUUCUUUGAUUGCACUGUGGCAAGAGAGAUCUGGUCUAUUGUUGCUGACUGCUUUUGCAUUCAGUUCCUUGGUGGGCUUGGAACUACAAAACCUUUGUGGAAUCAUAAAAAAGAAAAUGAAGCUGUUAACUUGGUUAUUUUAGCCACCUUGUGGGGCUUAUGGUUGAUGCGAAACGACUUUGUUUUCCAGGGGCGAAAACGGCGAAGUAUGUGUUGUAUCCUGGACUUGGUGGGCUCGCUAAUAAGGCAAUGGAAAAUUCUCUGUUCGGGCGUGCAGGGUGCUCUGCUUCUUCGGUGCUUAAGGCCACUCGAUCAUCGGCGAGGGAAGUUGCUUAGAAUCAUUUAG
Molecule: ribosomal RNA, 660 nt
Filed under: Triticum aestivum (bread wheat)
Lineage: Eukaryota; Viridiplantae; Streptophyta; Magnoliopsida; Poales; Poaceae
Description: partial small subunit ribosomal RNA
Source: RNAcentral